RNAcentral lists this long non-coding RNA (1286 nucleotides) under Equus caballus (horse). RNAcentral describes it as "lncRNA (ENSECAG00000029406.3)". The record is from RNAcentral. Lineage: Eukaryota; Metazoa; Chordata; Mammalia; Perissodactyla; Equidae.
GAGGGAACCAGUGUGAGAGCUCAGCAGCCAGCCAGCCUGAUGAAGGGAGGCCCGCGCCGAACAGAAACAGUACCUUUAUUCCUGCAAGCUAAGUCUUCUAUAGCCGCUUUAUAAAGAUGCAGUUUCUAAGCAAUGCCAGGCUCACACUGCGGCUAUGAUGAUGCUACAAAAGGCCUGUUAGAAAGUGGGGGAAAAUUGCUGGUCUCACAAAGAUCAUUUCAGCUCUAUCCGGGCCCACUGGACAGCUAACACCAGCAGAAUCAUUUUGGACCAAGAGGGUCAGCAAGAUGGAAUUGAUCCCAUCUAAGGGAGAAAAAAUUCAUCCUCUGUUGAUCCCUAGUACGGGAUGGUAGUGAUUGAGCAGCUUCAAGCUGGAUCCCAUAGUGCCGUUGACCCGCCGCCCUGCGCCCUGACAUACCUGCUGGCUUCCUUUACGUCCGUCACAUGCACAGUCCCUCAGUCCUCCCCACUCCCACCUCUGGGCGCAAGGUACUGAUUCUCUUCUGGCUGAAUGCCACGGUUUGCCCCAUAGAGUAGCCAUGGGCAGCAAACAUGGAUUCAUACAGCUGUCAGAGAAGGUUCGCGAUGAAUAAGUGAACUUAUAUCCACCCUUGAAAAAGAGGCAGGCACAAGGAAGGAAAGGGCACUUACCAGAACUUAAGCUCACGAGCCGGUGAAGCAAGAUCCCCAUACGUGCCACCAGAAGAAAUGAUGCGGGCUCGGCAAGCCAAAGAGCUGAAAGAAAGAUUUCCUGGACUUUCAAGGUCUGGUAGCAGUGCUCCCUUAUUCAGAGAAAAGCAUGGGGACAAGACCCAAGGACACUGAAGAGCUGCAAUGUGUUGAGGGUUAGGGCUACAUUUAUAAGGCAUGGGUAUGUGACUUAUUUUUACCAGACAAAGGAAGGAUGACAUAAAAAGUCAUUAAAAUGGUGUCAGUGCAGAUGGGGUCUGGUUGCUGUGUGGUCGUAUAACUUUAGAUAUGAAACAGGUCAUAUAGAUCGGCAUGUAGGCCAGGACACCCUGGGCUUCUCUCCCUGGGGCAGCCUCGAUCCACAUCACUGGCCUCCGAGGACACUCACUCAGCCGGUCUCUUUGGCAGCGGUCCUCAGUCUUGGCAUUCGUCAAAAUCACCUGCAUGGCUUGUUGAAACAAGAUUUCUAAUUCAGUAGGCCUGGGUGGGGCUCCCGGCUCUAGGCAGGGGAACUUGACAGCAGCACAAAUAAAAGUGAUUUAAAAUCAUUAUGAAAGAACCCAAAAGAAUCAGAGCUUUUUUUUUUUUUCCCAAAC